This 497-nucleotide ribosomal RNA is filed under the name uncultured bacterium. Its description in RNAcentral is "bacterial SSU rRNA". It matches the Rfam family "Bacterial small subunit ribosomal RNA", at positions 28 to 507 of the family's 1533-position model. The record is from RNAcentral.
GGCUAACGCUGGCGGCGUGUCUUAGCCAUGCAAGUCGAGCGGACUUAUGGGGUAACUUAUAAGUCAGCGGCGGACGGCGGAGUAACACGUAGCUAACCUACCCUCUGGACGGGGAUAACCUACCGAAAGGUGGGCUAAUACCCGAUGUAGUCAUCCUGUAUAGGGGUGAUGAAAGGUGGGCUUCUGUUUACAAGCUCAUGCUGGAGGAGGGGGCUGCGGCCUAUCAGGUAGUUGGUAGGGUAAUAGCCUACCAAGCCGAUGACGGGUAGCCGGCCUGAGAGGGUGACCGGCCCGAGGGGCACUGAGAUACGGGUCCCACUCCUACGGGAGGCAGCAGGCUAGAAAUUGGGCAAUGGGGGAAACCCUGACCCAGUGACGCCGCGUGCAGGAAGGAGCCCUUCGGGGUGUAAACUGCUGUCGUGUAGGGAGAAGGGUACUAAGGUGAACAAUCUUAGUACUUGACGGUACUACAGGAGGAAGCCCAGGCUAACCUCGUG